AGUACCUAUAAUCCAGCAACCUUGAUGAAGAUAAACAGAUAAUAGUCUGGCCAGUGCUUGGAUGGGACACCUUCUGAGAAUCCUACAUGUACCUUUCCACCUUGAGAUCUAUAUUGGAAGAAAGGUAGUCUCUGUCUUCUGCCUUCUCUACAAGACGUAUUUCCAACAGGAUUGACACAAAGAGCCAGAGGAAGGGCAAACAGGACCCCCCUCCAGUCCUUUCCACCUAGAGAAAGGACCUGACCUAGAGAAAUGCCUGAAGCCCCUUCUCUCUCCACUUAGUUCUCUGGAGGCAAAGGGAGCAACAGAACACCGUGAAGGAAAGGGACAGUGCCAAGUCCUCCUUCUCUAACAAGUCAAGUCAGGCACCUCCAAGCAAAAUCCUGUUACGCAUAAUGUCUACUUUGGCCCCUGAGUCAAGUUUCAACCAUGGUUUAGAAUCCUGGCUUGUGGGAGAAGGGGGCAUUAACGCCGAUCAACCACGGUUCCUGCAUUCGUACUGAACGUUGCUUUAAAACAAGAUGCUUUCCUUACACUCCAUGUGAGAAGGAAAAUGGGAAGUUGGACAACUGAGCUGUACAAACCAGCCUGGCAAGAAGCCAGUUUUAUGCUCACUUUCAACAUAACGGCAGCUUUCCUUGUAAUCUGAAUGCAACUUUGUUUAGCCUUCCAUGACACUAACCUGAGUGUUGUUCUUUUUAUUAGGCAUUCAUCUUUCCCCAGUAAACA
Molecule: long non-coding RNA, 729 nt
Organism: Eublepharis macularius
Lineage: Eukaryota; Metazoa; Chordata; Lepidosauria; Squamata; Eublepharidae
Exons: 3
Source: RefSeq, a predicted model, not a curated record